UACGGUGGGGGCAAGCGUUGUUCGGAAUUACUGGGAGUAAAGGGCUCGUAGGUGGCCAACUAAGUCAGACGUGAAAUCCCUCGGCUUAACCGGGGAACUGCGUCUGAUACUGGAUGGCUUGAGUUUGGGAGAGGGACGCGGAAUUCCAGGUGUAGCGGUGAAAUGCGUAGAUAUCUGGAGGAACACCGGUGGCGAAGGCGGCGUCCUGGACCAACACUGACACUGCUGAGCGAAAGCCAGGGGAGCAAACGGG
This 253-nucleotide ribosomal RNA is filed under the name uncultured bacterium. Its description in RNAcentral is "partial 16S ribosomal RNA". It matches the Rfam family "Bacterial small subunit ribosomal RNA", at positions 524 to 776 of the family's 1533-position model. The record is from RNAcentral.